GGCUAUGAUGAACAUUGUGUGCUUUGCACGCUGGAAAUUACCGACUGAGAUCACAAGUCUUUGACGACACAAAUGGCUGAUUCUGAGC
Molecule: small nucleolar RNA, 88 nt
Filed under: Mollisia scopiformis
Lineage: Eukaryota; Fungi; Ascomycota; Leotiomycetes; Helotiales; Mollisiaceae
Description: Phialocephala scopiformis A. fumigatus snoRNA Afu_300
Rfam family: A. fumigatus snoRNA Afu_300
Source: Rfam by way of RNAcentral